GUGCAAGAAGCGGUCGGGGGGAAGAAAGUCUUUGGCAAAGUGAACAGCACAUGCAAAGACCCUGAGGCUGGAAAGGGGUUUGGUCAGCAAGAAGGCUCCAGAGAACAGGAAGGGGAGGCCAGGCUCAAACCCAGGUUACAGGGUCCUGGGGACUUUUGGAUGGAACCAAGAGGGUUGGGUUGAAUACCCAGUACCCAGACAUGCAGCAGCCAGGAUGGCUUCUCCUGUUGCCCAGUCUGCCUGUUUCAUACCCCAGGCCCGAGCCCCACUCCAGGGCUCCCUGCUCCCCCUGCAGCCUUCCCCUACCUCCACCUACCCCCCAACUGUUAAGGCAUGGAGACUUGCUCCCCUCCCCCCCAACCCUGCCAGCUUUGCUCUUGCAGCCUUGAGAGAGAUGAGCCAGCAGCAAGGCCUCAGCUCCACACUUUCAAGGCACCAGCCUCGAGGUGCAGACUGCUCAGGCUAUUUAUACUCGUCAAGGCCACUGCACAAUAGCCACUAGAGGGGCAGGCUUCACCGGAGAAGGAGAACAGCCUUGUGCUACCCCUCCCCCGUGCCCUCAAUGCUGGGGGGCAGCUGGAUCCUGCUGGUGUAGAUAAUUGGGUACCAGGGUAACAGGCCCAGGACAUGCACUGUGGUGGUUCCUUCUCUUGCUCAGGCCCCCCAUGGCCUCUGUCUCAUCAGUUGGGAGGCCCUGGCUCACCCUAAGGGGAGUAGGCUCCCUCCCCUUUGAGUCCCCAGCCCUUUGCCCUGUCAUGCAUGGAAUCCUGGGUUUGGGCAAGAGCUCCCUGGUAAGCAGAGUAGGGGUCUCCUUGGGACUGGAGCUGCUUGUUUUCUACCCAUCUGCUGCCCACUCUGUCACCUCAGGCCAGAGGGAGGCCCAGAUAUGGGGACCCAAAGGACUCUGAGGACAGACGGGUAAAGCUUAAAAGGAGACUCUUAUGCUCAAGUGCAAGCACCUGAAGAUCAGGGCCCUAUGAGCUGGAGGGGGAGAGAGAUGGACUCGGUCUGCUGUUUAGAACUGCCCUGCCGACGCUCGUGAGUGCAGGCACAGGGGAGGUUGUAGCCUUGCGUGCUCUGCCAGGGACCCCUGGGCUCUCUCCCACUGUGUCACCCCUGAGGCUGGGAGAGAGGUGAGUGGAAUGUCCUGGAGCACUCCCACAGCUGUGGUCCCCAUACCAGUUGGAAAGGACUGUCUCCAUCCCUCCACCUUGUAGUCCUUGUGCCCUAAUCUCAUCCUUGGAAUCUAAGGGUCACCCAGGGCUUGGAGCUGGGUGAGGAGUGAGAAGAAGGCUCAGAGGCUUCCCUGAAGCUGGACUGAGGCUCCUUCCCCACUGGCCUCUGCAGCUUAUGGACUGUGAGCUUCUCUGUUCAUAAGAGAGGGACUCAGAGAGGAAGGGGGUCUCUGGAUGGGAGGGAAGCUUAGCAAGGAGAGGAGUCCCAGAGAAAGGAGACGGAAGAAGCUCAGGGGAUGUCCGUUUUCCCGUGCAGCCAGAAUGUGGGGCUUUGGGCCUGUUUCUGGGCCAAGGGCCUCCAGGGCCAGAAUUCUCCAUGGAGGGGACACAGUUCAGCAGGUGCUUGGCGCAGCUGAAGCCCCUCUCCCUGAUGCUGCAGGCCCCAAGCUCUGAACUCUUUUUCUCAGAGGCACUUGAUAGUCUUAAGUCCAUCUGGAGUGCCGGGAGCUGGAACGACUUCAGGGUUUCCAGUUCCUGACUGGGGGCCGCCAGGAAGGAGAGGAAGGCAGGGUUAGUUCUAGGCCCCCUGAUGGGCUAGGGGGACCAGGAGUUCUCUGAGUGGUUUCCAGGACUAGCAAAGGCUGCACUGCCUUUCCCUUGGGGGAGGCCCGAAUAGUGGCCAGACCAAGGGGAUGGUUGCUGGUGGUCCUGGUGAGCCUGGGCCUGCCACUAGGGUGAGAUGGCAUGAGCACAGGUCUCGCCCAGGGCUUUGGGAGUCCAGCCUUCCCACCAUGAGCUGUGGAGAGCAGGUGUCAGCUCCUCUCUUCAUCUCCCUCCAUCACAGCCCAGUGGGGCUGGGGGCCAGCAGGUGCCAAUAAAGGCUGGAGGAAGGCCAGGAUGGGAGCUGGGGCUGAAGAAGCAGCAGAUGACUCACGCCCUCCUGACUGCCCACUGGUGUCACUGUUGUCUGGCACCCGGAGGGCAGGCAUGGGGUAGACCAACCUGCUCUGAUGGGGAACCAUGACUCUGGUCUGAGAUUCCCCUUAUGCCAAAGACUCAGCCUUUCAGAGAAGUUCCUCAGGGAUCCAAAGGCUCUCUAGGAGUCACACCUGAGGGCUCCAGGCACAGCCCCAUUUCAAACCCUGAGACCUAUCUGGGACAGUGGCUUCAUCAGUCACUCCCUUGGUGCAGCCCAUGAGGUCCCAGAUCCACCUCUGGUGCCCUUUCAUGAAUUAACUCCCUACACCUGUAGGAGAGAGCAGGACCCCCCCCAGUGCCAGGUGGGGUUGGGGGACAUGGGCCUUGCUAGGAGUGCCUGAGGCUCAGGAAGGCCCAGGAUGCAUCUCUCACACUUAUGGUCUCUGCCUGGAGAGAAGCAGCCUUGGGAAUCGGUAGCUGAGUGCUGAUCCGGGAUCUGCCGGGCCCUGAUUAAAAACACAUUUUACUCCACACUGGGCUGGAGAACUCUCCUCUGUGAGACCCCAGGAACCAAGCAUCGCUUCACCCAGAGCCUCCGCUCUGCCCGUGUGAGGGUCCAACCAGCUCAGAGGUGGAGCUGCUCUGGCCUGGAGGGUGGGGGAUGAGUGAUGAACCACCCCCAGAAUUCCCCAUUGGGCCCAGGGAGGCCAGCUGAGCCUCAGUCUCUCCCUCCAUUCUUUUGGAGUUUGUUCCAGUCGCGGUUUUUAACUCAAUUAGUCUAGAUGCCAAGAGAACCUAGGACCAGCUCCUGCCCCUCCACGGCUCCCCAUUCCCCCACAGUUUCUGCUCCACCCAUCUGGUAGCCCUAAUCUUGGAAGGGAAGCAGAGGCACUAGUGGUCCUGACAGCCAACCUUUGCUAGGCAGGUGGCAGGAGGGCCCUCGUAGUUGGCCCUCACCAGUCUCACUGUUGCUCUGUGGGAGCUUGGGAGGCCAGGCCCAUGAUGGUUCCUAUUUUGAGCUUAGGUGGCCAGAGUUGAGGGAGGUUGCCGACUCCCUGGGGCUCAGUAUGGGCAGAGGCUGAGGGAGCACGAGGGCCAGGGGCAUCCUUGCCGUCUCUCCAGUCUGUUCCCUUUCUUGUUGGUUUAGCCACUUACACACUUGUGGUCAGUCUUGGACUGGGCACUUGGAAUCUGGGAAUGCAUCAGGGAAGGCAGGGGACCCAAAAGCAGCUGGUGGCCAAGAUCACAGGAUUCCAUCAGCUUGGAAGCCAGAGCUCCCUCCCUCAUGCCACAAGCCGCACCCCCCUGCCACUCUGUGAAGCCUGGACCAUGGAGACUUAGAGGCCCCCAGAGGAUCAGCUCCACCCCUGGGCUCCAUGGUAGUGACAGCUUCAGCCAGGCAUCCGUCCUUCUGACAUGUCCCUCCAAGCUGGGGUGCACUCUCUUCAAAGGUGGAAAGGAAUUCUUUGGACUGCCCCAGUCAUUCUGCCCACAUGGGCUCCUGUCCUGUUCUCUCUGACCCACCCAUCUGUUCUUAAAGUCGCCCCCACCCUCCACUGGGCCCAGGUUCCUCAGGGACCCUGAGGGAGGGCAGCUCUCCUCACAUGCCCUUCGCAGGUGUGGUUGAAUGUCUGUUCUUGCCAGGCAUGAAGUCCUGCGUGUUUCUGGCAGCAAGGACUCCUUCCCCAUCCCCCGAGUCCUCCCCGCUGCUAGCUCCUGGAUGAGGCGCUGCUCCCGGGGAGGGUGAGGAGCACAGCACAGCCCGUAAACCAGCUGUGGACAGCAGUCAGGGUGCCUGUGCUGUUGUCCUCCUGGCUGGUGCGGCUGGCCAUCUUUCACGCAGAGUUACGUAAGCUUGAGUCAAUUGGAGCUCAGAGCCGUUCAUUGUGGGCUAUUUUUAAGCUAUAACACAUCACAGCAGAGGGGUCAAUGCACCAUGGCUUGCAGGGAAGGUUGUUUAAACAUCUGUUAUUUAAAUUUCCCUGUGCCUUAGAGCUCAAAACCACGUCCUCCUGCACUCUUGGGUUCUGCCUUUCACAUCCCAGGUGAGGACUGGAUUAUCACCCCUCACCCUGUCUCAGCUUCCUCUAGGACUGGGGUUUUCUGCACUGUGCCUGCCUUUCUUUGGGGUGAGGCAGCGGGGCAGGGAGAAGGUGCCAGCUCCUCCAAACAUGGGGCUGCCUCCAUGGGAUGGGUGCCCUCUGGCCAGGAGGGACUUCCAGGGAAGCAGGAAGUUAGAGUUCACAGGGAGGAGAGGAAAACACAGAGUGCUAGGUAUAGAGCUGAGAGCCGAAGGGUUCGCCUUCCUCCUGGGGGGCUUUGGUUUCCCAUCAGAACCCAGAGAGGGUUGAUCACAAGGUCUUUUUGGGUCUCUUCAGAAACCUGCCUUUGCCUGGGCUGUGCUCCUACCUGGAGUGCCCACCCUCCACACACCUACGUGCUACCCAUGUGCAGCCUCUGGGACAGGGGGCUGGUGUCUGAGCCCCUGGACAGUAGGCAGGGAUGAGCCUCUGGGGAAACAGGCAUUGCUUUUCACUUCUAUGAUCAAGUGGUUGGCUGCGCUGGGAGCUCUUUAAGGCUCCUUUUGAUCCUAGAUUUUUGGACAUGUCCAGAGUCUUCCACAGUACAGGGAGGGGAAGGCAGGUAGACUGGAAGAGUGCAGGGCCAGGGACUUGACAGAGCUGACUCCUGAGAACAUAACCGAGCCCAAAAUACAUCUGUGUUGGAGAAUCAGGUCUGGGAGACUUGGCUGGUCACAGGGUGGAAUCGAGCCCUCUGUGCCUCUCCUCCUGAUGGCCUUCCUGCCCACCAUCCUCAAGUCCUCCUAGGUAGGAGGAUUCCAGCCUGAUCCACUGGGCAGGAGGGUUUCUCAGAGUUUCCCAUCUCCUGAAGUCUGACCCUCUCCACAGGGUUUGGGGCCUUCACCGGAGCCUGCCUGCCUGAAGGUCAGGUGAAGUGUGAAGGGAGGCAGUGCUGGAACCUGCCCUCACAGAGGAGCCUCUGUAUGGCCUUGCCAUCAGACUGAGCUCCUUCCUGUUGCUUCUUGGCCCCUCCAUCCCAGACAGCCCUCAGCCUGGGGAAUGGGCUCAGCCUGGGGGAGGGGCUCUCCAGGUUGCCAUGGUAACAUGUUGGCCCUCCUCACUUUCCAGAAUCAGAAAUAGAAUUGGAUGCCCUUCUUCCUGGUGAGAGACUAUUUAAAAACAUGUUGGGGGAGGGGUACAGGGGCAAUGUCCCUGCCUGAUCCCUGGGGGCUGGGUAGAAGGGACCCAGCCUGGGAGCCUCUCUAACUGCCCUGCUGCCCCUCCCUGCAGCUGGAUGAAGCGAUGGGCUUCAGCCAGCCGAGAAUUCUGAGUACAAAGGAUUCAGCCUGGUCCCACAGGGUAUGUAACUAGCCCCUACUCAGCACUACCAGCUUCUUGGGAGGCACUGGCUUAGUGCCCCCCAGGAAAACACCCCCUCCCAGGCCUGAGCCAUCUGCUGUUGGGAGGAGGAACAGGGCCAUGUGGGAUACAGCUUGGGUGAGGGCUUGGGGCUGCAGCACUCGGAAGGGAGGCAUGUUGGCUCCCCUCUAGUCGGGUCCAUGCCCACGUGACCCUGGGCCUGGCACCCAGUAGUGGCACCGUAAGCUCCUAAAGUGUGGGUCCAGAGUCUGAUGGCCUAGCUUCAGAUUCUAGCUCUACAGCACACUAGCUGCAACCUCUGUGAAUUCUCUUUCCUCCCUGUGCCUUGAUUUCUUCAUUUGUAAAAUAAGGAUGACAGCGCCCGGCUCUCGCUGAAUCGCUGUGGGGCUGGAACAGUGCUCAGAACUGCCUGGCACACAGGAAGGGCCCAGCCAGUAAGCAGUCACUGUUCUCAUUGCUAUCAGCGGGGUUUGCUUCCCACGUGGGAAAAGGCUUCUCCUCUCUCCACACUGCCUUCUUUGGUCUUUCCUCCGUGGGCCGCACCGUUCUCAGGUUGGUUGUUCCUGGGGACUCCAGCCCUGAAAGGGAGGGUUAUGCCUCACUUCCGCAGGAGGCAGGGGGAUGGCUCAGUGGUCAGACAGGCAGGGACUUUCCGGGCCUCCCUCCAUGCCUCUCCAGCCCUCCCGCAAGCACAAGAGGCUGCUACUAGCAUCUCUGUCAUGGAGAAAAGCAAAACAAAAUUAAGAAACAGUUUGCUUGGGGCCAGAGAUGAAUGAAGUUAAUCGUGUUUGGCAGGUCUGUGUGUGCGCGUGCACACGCGCUCAGGCUGCAGACCCUUGAGCUCUGCCCCCUUCCUGGGCCCUACAUGUGUGGUGAGCAGCAGGGUCCAGACACAUCAGUCCCCGUUCUUCACUGGAGGCAGCGUCUGGGGCAGGGGGAGGGGGCCCGGGGGCCUGAGACAUGGCUGAGUCAGGUUGUGCCCGGUGCCGAGUCCGGAAGGCGCAGAUGAAGCCCAGCGCUAGCCUUGGUCCCUGGUCGCAUCGCUUCACACCCCACGGCCAACCGUAAGCACUCUUUUUAACUUCUGUGAAAACACAGCGCUUCAGAGGACAAGACUACAGCUUCAUUCUCCAUAAACCUGUUUCCUGGGUAGAAAGACUGAGGCCAGAAAGGAUAGUCCUGGAGGACAGAGGGAGGAGGCCCCGAGCUCAUAGCUGGGGGAGGGAGGAAGGUCUGACCCUGCCCCAGUCAGAACCUCCACACUCAGGCCUGUGGCCAUGGCUGCUUCCCCAAACUAGGCCUGUCCUCUGUGGCUGCAGGGCACAUCGGGGCCUGGGCUGCUGGUCCAGGCACAUCCUGCUCCUCCCUGACCCUCUGUUUGCCCAUCUAUGAACUGGAGGGUGCAGCCACCCACCUGGUCAAAUAGCUUGCUUUCCUGUGUGCUCUCCAAGUCCAGUCCUUUGUCCAACUUGUCCCCACUGUGUACCCAGUUCUGUACCCACCAUACCCCUGCUGGGUAGCCAGCCCUGUGCCCACUGUGAGGACAGACCCCUUAACCACUGUGUCCCUACUGUUCCCCAUCCCAUAAUUGCUACUUGGCUGGCCCAGUGUGCACUGUGGCCUAGCCCUAUGCCAGUGUUCUGCCCCUCUUCUGGCCAAGGUGAAGUUGACACAACGUGACAAAAGCUAGAACAUUCUGACUUGAGGGUUCUGAGCAGAGGCCCCACCCCUGCCUGUGUCAUCCCCAUCCCCACCCCCGUGGGAUACGGGUCCUGGGCCUCAAGGACGUGUGGCUCUGGGGAGGGGGCUCUGUGUAGAGCAGGCAGAGGAAAACCAUCUGGAGCAGAAAGACUGCCAAGGAGCUGCUGUCCCUGGAGCAGGAGCUGGGGAACAUGCGGGAGGGGAGUUAGAGCCUGGGCCUGGGCCCCUCACCCACUUCUGCCUCUCAGGACUGAGUGGUGAAGGGGCUCUGGCCCCCACAAAGGCCUCGUGCCACACACUUGGAACUGCAUCCCUGGGUCAGGGCUUAAGUCUCAAGUUGCCACGUGGGAAAUGGGGAGAAAGAGGCAAGUCUGGCAUCUGAGGUAGAUUGGGAGCCCAGGGGCUUCCUCCGUAUCUCCCCUGCCUACCUUUUCCCCUUGGCCUUAUACACGCCCUCGCCUCUAGGAGCACUGCCCUCGCUCAAGGGCUGGCCUGGGCAGAGUGGUCACCUGGCUGGCAAGGAGAGAGGAGGCCAGUCUAGGGAUGACUUCACUGGGGCCUUUCUGUCCCCCAAGAUUCCCUGGGCAGGCCCCCAUUCCUCGGGGGGGUGGGGCCCCUGGUUUCCCACACUCUCUCACCCUCCCCCAGGUCACUGGGGGCUGUGAUGUGUGCGGUUGCCAUGGCAAUGAAGUGGGGGCAGGGCACCUAGGGCAUGGAGCAGGACUAUGGAAGUCACCAAGAAAGUGGGGGGCCCUGAUCCAUCGGGCCCUCAGGGCCACCCCUCAGUUGGCAGCCAGCAGGUGGGGGGUGGCCUUAGAGGGUCCCAGGGACCAUGGACAAACUCAGGAUCUGUAUACUCAAGGCAGGGGCUGUCAUUGUCCACCAAGGCCAUCUCUGAAGGGGCCUAUGGCACAGCCUCCCAGGCCCACACCCAUGAGCCCAGUCACCAGCAGCUCCGGGACCCUGCUGAGGUUAGCUCCCAGUGUGGCUCUGAGAGGGCCUCCCAGGAUUCCCUGAGACUCCCCUCCACUAGCUCGUUUCCAAGCUCUAACGUGGGAGCCCAAACACAUCUCGUCAUGGAGAACAGGAGCCUGGCCCUACCGGUGUGCAGGCGCAAUGACGGCACCAGUGACAUGGCCCAGCACAGACUCUGCUGUUCCCGGCUUCAGGUGCAGAUGGCGGGGGAGGGCAAGACUCCAGCUAAAGUCCUAGUAGGCUGGGGCAGAGGCCCCUGCAGCCCUGGCCAGAUAGCCUCAUUGGGCAUUAGGAAGAGCCGGUGGCUACCGUAUUUUCUUUCAGGGGAGGAUGGCUCAGCUGCAGCCCAAAGUCCUCUUCUGGCUCCAACCCAAGAUCAGGGCCAGGGCAAGUGCCCCUGUCCAGCUCAAACUCCUCCAACUCCAACUCCAGCUCGGGCAAAUACUCCAGCUCUGGAUACAAUCUCAACAUCAGCAGCAGUUGAAUCUUACACCUGCAACCUUGACCAUGUGACCAACACAAAUGCCAUCACCAAGGGCCUGUCCCCAGACCUCUUGCCCAGGAAAUGUGACAACCAAUGGUCAGCCCAGUCCAGUUCUUCCAAAGGGGUCACAUCCUGCCAGGACAAAGUGAAUUUCCAUUCUCAGGAUGAGCCUCCCACCCCAGCACUCACUCCAAGAGAGUCCCCAGACCAGGCCCAGGAGCUCAAGUUUGCCCGAAGCCUGGUUUUACCAAGGCAGCCCGAGAACCAAGUGGAGAAGCCCCUGACCUCCAGGUUGGGCAGCCCCAAACCAGACUCAGGGCCCCCUGAAACCCCCAAGCCCCAGAGGGGUAACCAGGAGAUCUACAGCGCUCAGCCAGGUCAGCAGCCCUUCAAUGUUUGCAACAACACCUGCUCCAACAUGCUGCCGUCUGCCCACCAAGUAACUUGCCACAACCCACCCCAAGUACAGCCUCCUAGGGAAACCAUGCAGAUACCCCCUCCCAGUGCCCCUACCUGCCAGCUCCAGGAUGCCGUGGAAGACCGUGUGCUGGUGUUUGAUAUGGCCACCGGCAACACCAGGAUGGGGCUCCUGUGCCAUGACCCCAUGGGCUCACGGGCAGUGCUGGUGGGCCUCAUGCCCAGCCACCCAUCCAUCUAUGCCUCUGAAAAUACACUGUCCACCUGGCCGUUGGCCAUGCCCAUCCUCUCCCCUGACAGCAAUCGCUCCAGCUUCUGGUCCACCACGCCCAUGGUGUCCAGCCCCGUGCCCUCCAGCCUUUCAUCUGGAAGCUAUCGAGAAGUGGCCCUGGUUCCCAAAGAGGCCAGGCUCAACCUGGAGUCACAAGGCUCCCCUGGUACUGAGACACCCAUCAGGAUGGGGAUGCUCACUGGGCCUGUUCCACUGGGGAUGCCCCUCCAAUUUGGAGAGAGGAUACUGAGCCAUGCCCAUGAUCCUGGCUGGUCUGACGCUGAAAAAAAUGAAGCUAGUCACACCAUCUGGAUGCUGGAUGCCUCUGGGAUGCAGGACACCUCUAUGGUCCAGGACAAGAAACUGCAGUGGAUGAACUCAGAGCAGACCCCAGAGCCUGUACCUCCAGCCAAAAACCAGGAGGUGCUCAGACUCCUGCUCCAGGAGAAUACAGGCAGCCACAAUCAGAAAGAGGUCGUUAUUGCUCACCCUGACAACGCUCAGGUCCAAGGUGCUGGGCAGGCCCCCCUCGGCGGUCAGCCCCCACUAGCUGAGCAGCAUCCCCUUUCCAGACAGCGCCCUUCAACUGGUCAGCCUCCCUCUGCAGAGCAGUGUCCCCUUACUGGGCAGACCCACUUUUCCGGACAGCCACCCUUAGCUGAGCAGACCCCCUCCACCAAGCAGCCGCCUCUUCCUGGUCGGGCCCCUCUCACUGGAUCCCCUAUUGCCAGGCAGCGUUCUCUCACUAGGCAGCCUCCCUUUCCCCAAGAACCCCCCAUCGCCAAUGAGCCCACUCUCUCAAGAGGUCCCCUGACCACUAGGGAGGCUGGUCAGGCCUCCACCCUGGGCCAGGGAGGUGAGCCAUUAGGCCCGCCUACCCAUGCGGAGGUACUUCGGGUGACCCCGGCCCCUGAGGAGACCUGUGUCUAUGUAAACAGAGAAAAGGUUGGUGUCAGCACUGGUCAAAGCUCCAGCUCGCAUGGGCUCUCGUCCUGGCAACCUAGCAGCUCCCCCGGAGGGCAGGAGGAGCAGCUUUCCCUGAUCACAUUCACCACACCUGGCCCCGGCUGCAAGGUCUUGCCCAUGGCCAGAGUGGGCACUGAGGCCCAGGGUCCCCGGUUCGAGCUGACAGCUGAGGACAUUACACACUCGCCAGUGGCCGCACACCUUGGCCUUCUUCGAGGGGCCUGCUAUGAGCUGGUGCCCACCAUGGAUGUUCUGUCAGUGCAGUCGCCAGUGCUCUGCCGCCACUUACUGGGCCCCUACCAGGACAUGGCAGCCGUGGUGAUUGACACAGGCACGGGCUUCACCAAAUGUGGACUGGCUGGAGAGGACCAUGUCCUCAGUGUGCUGCCCUCACGUGUCCAGCUGCUGCAGCACCCAGUCCAGGGCCAGCCCAGGUAUGCGGUGCCUGAGAACCGAGAGGGCUCCUACUCGGUGCUGAAUCGAGGCGUGGUCUCCGACUGGGAUGCACUGGAGGUGCUGUGGCAGCACCUGUUCUACUGUAGGCUGGGUGUGCAACCCGAGGAGCUGGCUGUGCUUGUGGCGGACUCACCCACCUCACCGCGCACCAACCGAGAAAAGGUGGCUGAAAUACUCUUUGAACGUUUCCACGUGCCAGCCAUGCAGACAGUGCAUCAGGCCCUGCUGGCGCUCUAUGCUUACGGGCGCACCACUGGGCUGGUGCUGGGCAGUGGCCAUGGCACCUCCUACGUGGCGCCCAUCGUCACCGGGGAUCUGGCCCCAUUUGACACCUACCGGCUGGAUGUGGCGGGUGCCGACCUCACUGAAUACCUGGCUCAGCUGUUGUUGGCAGGCAGCCAAUCACUGCUCAAGGCAGGGCUGGUCAACCAGAUUAAAGAGGCCUGCUGCUACGUGGCCAAGGACAUGACAGCUGAGAUGGCCCGUGCCCAGGCCCGGGUGGACUUUGUGCUUCCAGACAAGCAGGUCAUCACACUGGGCUCUGAGCGCUUCCGCUGCCCCGAGGCCCUCUUCCAGCCCAAUCUGCUAGGCCUCAAUCAGCCGGGCCUUCCACAGCUAGCCCUCCUAAGUAUCAGCCGGCUGGAGGCCAAGCAGCAGGAGCAGCUGCUGGCCAAUGUGGUGCUGGACGGUGGCAGCACCCUGUUGAGUGGCUUCCCUGAGCGCCUGAGGCAGGAGCUGGGCCCCGGCGCCACCGUGCUGGGCUCUCCGCACCGUGCUGUUGCUGCUUGGCUCGGAGGCUCCAUCAUGGCGUCCCGGGACUCCUUCCGGAGGCUGUGGCUCAGCCGCCGUGAGUACGAGGAGGAGGGCCCCUGGGCCAUCUACAAGUACCACCUCUCAGAGCCUGGCGAUGCCGUUUGGGUGUGUGACUCUGGGCGACAAGAAGAACUAUAACCAGCCAUCGGAGGUGACUGACAGAUAUGAUUUGGGACAGGUCAUCAAGACUGAGGAGUUCUGUGAGAUCUUCCGGGCCAAGGACAAGACAACAGGCAAGCUGCACACCUGCAAGAAAUUCCAGAAGCGGGAUGGCCGCAAGGUGCGGAAGGCAGCCAAGAACGAGAUAGGCAUC
Molecule: RNA transcript, 11890 nt
Organism: Hippopotamus amphibius kiboko
Lineage: Eukaryota; Metazoa; Chordata; Mammalia; Artiodactyla; Hippopotamidae
Gene: CAMKV
Gene name: CaM kinase like vesicle associated
Exons: 3
Source: RefSeq, a predicted model, not a curated record